Molecule: long non-coding RNA, 1272 nt
Organism: Pogoniulus pusillus (Red-fronted tinkerbird)
Lineage: Eukaryota; Metazoa; Chordata; Aves; Piciformes; Lybiidae
Exons: 3
Source: RefSeq, a predicted model, not a curated record
AGGCCACGUAACAUGAUGGUUUUGCUUUCUUUCUCAUCGUUAAUGUCGUUCCUGUAGUCGUGCUCUCCAUAGUCGCCAUCAGAAUGGUAGCCAUCUUCUGAUUUGUCACUGUUCCUGCGCUCCCGCUCCCUCUGAGAAUCCAGCACCCAGAAUUAACUACCGCAAUUUAUAGCAGCCGGCCCCCGCAAAACCAGCGAAAACAAAGCAAAACCAAACCCACCGAAUGCCCGUACGACCAUCCUCCUCGGGUUUGAGCCUGACGCCCUCGGGCUAAACACCAAGCUCAAAUUUCCCCUCUCAUCUUCACUCAAGAAAACCCCCGGGAUGUCAACCCUGGCACCGUGCACUGCGGUACCCCGGUCCCAGGACCCCAGGCUGUGAUGAUGUUGCAAGAGAAGCCUAUUGACUGCCUGGACACCACAGUGCAGCAGCAAGUCAUGCUGGCCAUCACCAGCAUGAGUAGAGCUGGACUGCUUCAGCACAACAAGGACAGCAUCCUGGAAGCCUGUUUCAAGAGUGUCUUCAGCUUGCCUGCCUCCACAGCACAGCCAGGGCUUUGUGGCUUUCCUCUACUCCAAGGUGUGCCAUGGGGGGAAACAUUAGGACCUUUUCUGCCCCAAGCCCCCUUUCUGGACACCAUAGGGCCAUGGCUGACCAUCACAGACUUCCAGGGCUGUUCCCACGAAUUUUUAUUGCUUGCAGACCCUGGCUGGUCUCUGUGGCGAUCUGCAGAGCAUCUCAAGGGUCUGGCCUUGGUACAGGGUCUCCACAGGCAGUGACCAUCUGGGCUUGGUUGGACCCAGCAGAGCACCCUGCCACAGCUCCCACUCUGUGUUUCAGAUACUGGAGUGCUCUGACUGCGAGGACGAGCUGGACUGUGUCUGGUAGUGGGGUUGGAAGGCUUGGGUGGCAGUGUCCUGCCCUCACGUGGCAGAAUCCUUCUGACCCCCGAUAAACCAGCUCCAAGCAUCCACAACAAAACCAAACCAAACAAACCCAAAAUGUUUCCAUCCGUGUCCCUAUUUUUCAGCCUUUCCCACAUUUUUAAUGAAGAAAAAAAAAAACAAAAAACCACUUCCACUGAAGAUUCACUUCCAGUCAGUGUGGAAACAGGAUCACAAAAUCACAGAAACAUCCAGGCUGGUAAAGCCCCUCAGGAUCAACAAGCCCAACCUAUAACCCUACUCAACGAGACUCAGCGGGCUGCCUCAGGUCAGCUUUGUGGCGGCAGAGCGGCCGUAUUGUAUAGAAUGGAGUCUGAAUUGCUCAAGA